RNAcentral lists this ribosomal RNA (457 nucleotides) under uncultured bacterium. RNAcentral's name for it is "bacterial SSU rRNA". It matches the Rfam family "Bacterial small subunit ribosomal RNA", at positions 28 to 507 of the family's 1533-position model. The record is from RNAcentral.
GAUGAACGCUGGCGUAUGCCUAACACAUGCAAGUCGUACGAGAGUUUUUUAACUCUAGUGGCGGACGGGUGCGUAACGCGUAAGAACCUACCUUUUGGAGGGGGAUAACAUUGGGAAACUGAUGCUAAUACCCCAUAUCAGCUGAGGAGUGAAAGAAUAAAAUCGCCAGAAGAGGGGCUUGCGUCUGAUUAGCUAGUUGGUGAGGUAACGGCUCACCAAGGCGAUGAUCUUUAGGGGGCCUGAGAGGGUGAUCCCCCACACUGGUACUGAGACACGGACCAGACUCCUACGGGAGGCAGCAGUGAGGAAUAUUGGUCAAUGGGUGCAAGCCUGAGCCAGCCAUCCCGCGUGAAGGACGACUGCCCUAUGGGUUGUAAACUUCUUUUGUAUAGGGAUAAACCUUUCCACGUGUGGAAAGCUGAAGGUACUAUACGAAUAAGCACCGGCUAACUCCGUG